This 1176-nucleotide ribosomal RNA is filed under the name Triticum aestivum (bread wheat). RNAcentral describes it as "partial small subunit ribosomal RNA". The record is from RNAcentral. Lineage: Eukaryota; Viridiplantae; Streptophyta; Magnoliopsida; Poales; Poaceae.
AUGGAAGAAAUAGAUGAUGAUGAUAAGUUAGAGGAAAUUUUAGACCACAUAGCAGAGAAGAAUAACAAGAUAUUGAAUGUGACAAUAGUUAGGGCCAGUGCAGAGAAAGUUCCCAAUACAAAUACUAGUGUUAAUGUCAUUGAGAUGCAGACCCCAAUAGAACAAAUUGGAGAGCCCAAACUGUAUCAGAUUGAUGAUGAAGGAGUGUUGUUCAAUGCUGAAAAUGUGCAUAUAGAAGCUGAGAGUUGUGAUGUAGGAGGAGAACAAGAGGCAAUGCCCUUGCAGUUUGACACACAGCAGAGCAGAAUAAAUGUGAGCCUCAAACCUGCUUUAGGUGCUGCAGUAGUGGAAGAAUACCAUGUGAUUGACAAUUCAGAGGAGCAACUGUUAAUAGAGCAAGAAAUGGAGGAGAAAAGGAGAAAUGAAAUUGAAAUGUUUAGGAAGAACAAGAAGGAAAGAGUGAAGGAGACUUGUUUGAACAAGAAGGAAAGAGUGAAGGAGACUUGUUUGAACAGGAAAGCAGCAGUGAUGGACAAUGAAGAGGAUAGUGAUGAUGAUGAUCUAGUAGAAUAUGGUGAUAUCUUAGCUAGGCUUGAGGAGAUGAGAAGACAGAGGAAUGACCCAGAACUUCAUUUUGAAGGGGACACAGAUGUUGAGGAAAUGUGUGACUCAGAGGUGGAUGAUGAGCUGUAUGUGCCACAAGGUGAAGAAGAGGAUAUAGAGGAGGAAGAGGAACAAGAGGAUGAGCUAGGGCAAGAUGUACCAAACAAGAGAAGGUCCAAGAGAGAAAGAAAAGGCCCAACAAGCAAUUCACAUGGGAGUAUAGAACACAUGUUUGAGGAGGACUGGAUUCCAUCAUCUGAUGAGGACAAGAAACCACAAGACCUUGGUGUGGAAGAUGAUGAUGGUGCUGAGGCAUUGGCAUAUGUGUUGCCCAAUGGUAGAAAAAGCAGAGCAAAGGAGAUGAAGAGGUUAUGGUUUUAUGAGCACAGAGCUCAUUCAGAGGAGAAAUUUGUGAAGCAUCUUUGCUUCUUAAAUGUGUAUCAGUUUAGAACUGCACUUCAAACCCUGCACAUUGCUCAAAACAGGAACUUUGUCUACCAUAGAAACUGCAGUGAUAGGGUGAUAGCACAAUGCAUAGAUGAGCAAUGUCCCUUCUAUAUAGCAGCUUCUUAG